This 481-nucleotide ribosomal RNA is filed under the name uncultured bacterium. RNAcentral's name for it is "partial 16S ribosomal RNA". It matches the Rfam family "Bacterial small subunit ribosomal RNA", at positions 28 to 507 of the family's 1533-position model. The record is from RNAcentral.
GAUGAACGCUGGCGGCGUGCUUAACACAUGCAAGUCGAACGAAGCAUUUGCGACAGAUUUUUUCGGAAUGAAGUUGCUUAUGACUGAGUGGCGGACGGGUGAGUAACGCGUGGGUAACCUGCCUUGUACUGGGGGAUAGCAGCUGGAAACGGCUGGUAAUACCGCAUAAGCGCACAAUGUUGCAUGACAUGGUGUGAAAAACUCCGGUGGUAUAAGAUGGACCCGCGUCUGAUUAGCUAGUUGGUGAGAUAACAGCCUACCAAGGCGACGAUCAGUAGCCGACCUGAGAGGGUGACCGGCCACAUUGGGACUGAGACACGGCCCAGACUCCUACGGGAGGCAGCAGUGGGGAAUAUUGCACAAUGGAGGAAACUCUGAUGCAGCGACGCCGCGUGAGUGAAGAAGUAAUUCGUUAUGUAAAGCUCUAUCAGCAGGGAAGAUAGUGACGGUACCUGACUAAGAAGCUCCGGCUAAAUACGUG